Molecule: ribosomal RNA, 253 nt
Filed under: uncultured bacterium
Lineage: Bacteria
Description: partial 16S ribosomal RNA
Rfam family: Bacterial small subunit ribosomal RNA
Source: RNAcentral
UACGUAGGGUGCGAGCGUUAAUCGGAAUUACUGGGCGUAAAGCGUGCGCAGGCGGUUAGCCGUGUCCGAUGGGAAAGCCCCGGGCUUAACCUGGGAAUGGCAUUGGAAACUGGCUGGCUGGAGUGUGGCAGAGGGGGGUGGAAUUCCACGUGUAGCAGUGAAAUGCGUAGAGAUGUGGAGGAACACCGAUGGCGAAGGCAGCCCCCUGGGCCAACACUGACGCUCAGGCACGAAAGCGUGGGGAGCAAACAGG